AGUCGAGGGGUAGAAGUCUUCGGGCUUUGAGACCGGCGCACGGGUGCGUAACGCGUAUGCAACCUACCUUGAACAGGGGGAUAGCCCAGAGAAAUUUGGAUUAAUACCCCAUGGUAUUAUAGAAUGGCAUCAUUUUAUUAUUAAAGUCACAACGGUUCAAGAUGGGCAUGCGUCCCAUUAGCUAGUUGGUAAGGUAACGGCUUACCAAGGCAACGAUGGGUAGGGGUCCUGAGAGGGAGAUCCCCCACACUGGUACUGAGACACGGACCAGACUCCUACGGGAGGCAGCAGUGAGGAAUAUUGGUCAAUGGGCGCAAGCCUGAACCAGCCAUGCCGCGUGCAGGAUGAAGCAUCUAUGGUGUGUAAACUGCUUUUAUACGGGAAGAAACCCCGCCUCGUGAGGCGGAUUGACGGUACCGUAGGAAUAAGGAUCGGCUAACUCCGUGCCAGCAGCCGCGGUAAUACGGAGGAUCCAAGCGUUAUCCGGAAUCAUUGGGUUUAAAGGGUCCGUAGGCGGGCCUGUAAGUCAGUGGUGAAAUCUCCCCGCUCAACGGGGAAACGGCCAUUGAUACUGCAGGCCUUGAAUUAUUAGGAAGUAACUAGAAUAUGUAGUGUAGCGGUGAAAUGCUUAGAUAUUACAUGGAAUACCAAUUGCGAAGGCAGGUUACUACUAAUGGAUUGACGCUGAUGGACGAAAGCGUGGGUAGCGAACAGGAUUAGAUACCCUGGUAGUCCACGCCGUAAACGAUGGAUACUAGCUGUUCGGGGCAACCUGAGUGGCUAAGCGAAAGUGAUAAGUAUCCCACCUGGGGAGUACGGGCGCAAGCCUGAAAC
RNAcentral lists this ribosomal RNA (834 nucleotides) under uncultured Bacteroidota bacterium. Its description in RNAcentral is "bacterial SSU rRNA". It matches the Rfam family "Bacterial small subunit ribosomal RNA", at positions 60 to 900 of the family's 1533-position model. The record is from RNAcentral. Lineage: Bacteria; Pseudomonadati; Bacteroidota.